GUAAAACCACAGAAGAAGAGGCUGAGCGCGAAUCUUUUCACAACAAGGCGCUGAUGCAGUGAAUUGGUCCACCACACUGCUGGAGUUUGGUUAAUGCAGAGUUGAUGUGGAUCAAUGUAAUGCCUCUUGAAUCACGGUUCAUCUCCCCGUUGGACAAGCACACGGAUAACCUGAUGAAGGUAUUCCGCAACAAGGGGGGAGAUCCGUCAGAUAAUGUCAUUGACAACUAAGACAGAUGACGUACACGUGAAGCGAGAGUGCAUGUUGAAAUCCCCGUGUCCACCUGAACGAGGACACCAAGCCACUUGUCAAGGAAUACUUGCUGAAGCAUCAACAUAGAUGACAUGGAGAGGGAGCUUCCUCUGACAACCAUGGGGGUCUACGUGGUCAGAAAAGAAAAUGCACAGCCCGAAGAAGAUCCAGAGGGCGUGGGAGUGCUGAUUGAAGGGGUGGAGGUCCUUGCUGGCCUACCAAGUAUCACUUGUGGAUGCGUCAUGCUGUUUGGAUUGAUCUAUGCACUCAAUGUGAGCUCCCCACAACACGAGCGUGGAAGUGUACAUUUGACGUGUACCAGAAGAUACUGAUGAACCUAGAUGGUAAGAAGCUUUCACCAAAAGUUCAGUGUCUGAAAAUCAAGAUGCUGCAGUGAUCUAUUUGAUGCAGUCAUGCUUCACCAGUGGACUCUUUGUGACUCUUCCUUCUAUGCUUUCAAUCUUUCACUUGUGAUGGAAACAAAUCUUGGACAUUGUUGUGUUGUUAUUGUUGCACUUAAAUGUUUACCUGCUUUUCCAUUGGACUUGUUGGACUCAACAUACCACAGUUUGCAUUUAUGAUGGCCAUGCUUUUUGUGUUAACACUCAUGUUCUUGUGUGGAUACAUGACUCUCUUGAUUUAGGAUGGUUCUAUUCUUGGUGUGUUGUCUGUCAUAAAAAGUUAUUGUCAUAUCGAGAAUGUUGCAUUCAUUUGAAGGGAAAACAAUCUUCAGAAUGAAUGAGAUCAUUAUCUCAGAAUUGAGAUGAAUCCCUUUCUGACCACUCACUUGCUGACUCCAGCUGGUAGUUUACUGUCCCUCACACAUCCCUGCAAAGCUGAAGCAUCAGCAUCCAGUGAAGUCAUCACAAUUUGUGGGGAAAUUGUAAACAAAAUGUAUUUUUCACACUACAGUCACUUUUCUUAGUUCAUGUUUUUGUUGAAGAUUUAUCUGCAUGGGGAAUAUCAUUCUUGGCAUGUUGGAUACUCGCAUCAUACUUGAUGCAUUUUAAAAUAGGUUUUCCCAAGAUGUCCUGAUGUUACCUGAAGGAAAAUUGUCUUGGUUAUGAACAGUUAAACAUGAUGUUUUCAUUUAUUCAAACACUGUCCGUUUCUUUAAACUGUUUGUUGAAAGCAAUAAAUUGCUUCAUCAGUAUCUUCUGGUACACUUCAAAUGUACAC
Dunckerocampus dactyliophorus (ringed pipefish) is the source of this 1431-nucleotide long non-coding RNA. RefSeq lists it as uncharacterized. The transcript is spliced from 4 exons. NCBI's taxonomy places the organism in Eukaryota, Metazoa, Chordata, Actinopteri, Syngnathiformes, Syngnathidae. The record is from RefSeq and is a predicted model, not a curated record.